AGUGAACGCUGGCGGCAGGCCUAACACAUGCAAGUCGAACGGCAGCACGGCAGUAGCAAUACUGUGGGUGGCGAGUGGCGGACGGGUGAGGAAUACAUCGGGAUCUACCCUGUUGUGGGGGGAUAACGUAGGGAAACUUACGCUAAUACCGCAUAAGAACUGAGGUUGAAAGCGGCGGACCGCAAGGCGUCGCGCGAUUGGAUGAACCGAUGUCCGAUUAGCUAGUUGGCGGGGUAAAGGCCCACCAAGGCGACGAUCGGUAGCUGGUCUGAGAGGACGACCAGCCACACUGGAACUGAGACACGGUCCAGACUCCUACGGGAGGCAGCAGUGGGGAAUAUUGGACAAUGGGCGCAAGCCUGAUCCAGCCAUGCCGCGUGGGUGAAGAAGGCCUUCGGGUUGUAAAGCCUGUCGGGAGGGACGGAAUUCUGACGGUACCGUCCCAACGAAAGCACCGGCUAACUACGUGCCAGCAGCCGCGGU
RNAcentral lists this ribosomal RNA (483 nucleotides) under uncultured bacterium. RNAcentral describes it as "bacterial SSU rRNA". It matches the Rfam family "Bacterial small subunit ribosomal RNA", at positions 30 to 521 of the family's 1533-position model. The record is from RNAcentral.